AAAUAGUUAAGGGAAGUUUUCACAUAUAAACAGACGCCUCCCCCUGUUCUAGAACGAUCGAUCCUAAUAAGAUCAUAAUUACUUAUAUACAUAUCCUGGUCAUUAAUAGUAUCAUCCAAUCUUGUCUCAUUUAAUGCAAGAAUAUCGAGACAUUCAUCGGCUAAUAUGAUCCUAAUUUCGUCAAUAUGCUUAGGUAAACUGGUUAUAUUAAGCAUACCCAUUUUGAAACCCUUGAAAUCAGGGAAAUAUGGGUUAAAUUGAGCAUACCUUACAGCACCUGGCCAUGCCUUAUUUCAAUUACGACUAAAGUGAUUACUAUAAUUUCUAGUAAUAGUGCUACUAUACCCUUUCUAUUUAAAUGUAGGCCACCUCUAUUUAGGCAAGUAUAAUCUAAAUUAGUGUUGUCUAUAUAGGUCCAUUUGUUUUGGUCAGAGACCCGUUUAAGAAUGUCAUUUACAGUUUUAAUUUUGUUCUGGAUAUUAGCUUUAUCUUUCCUGGUAAUAAUGCCCGAUAUACAUACGUUAGUGCAUGGUAGACUAUCCUUUAUUUGGGUUCCGAGGUUUAAGAUACCCGCAGCAACUACUUCUGCCGUCUUGGAGUUAUCUUUAAUAUUGUUAGUGCCUACAUGCAAUAUUAUCUCGUCGGGCUUUUUGCGUAGUAAUGGUUUUAUGUAAUCUUGCAUAUCUUCAGCUUUACUCCCUGAAAAGGACUUUACAGAUACACGUUGUUUAUCGUUAGACAA
Molecule: non-coding RNA, 742 nt
Organism: Paramuricea clavata
Lineage: Eukaryota; Metazoa; Cnidaria; Anthozoa; Malacalcyonacea; Plexauridae
Source: the annotation of a GenBank genome assembly